CCUUGCUUUCCACUCAAAAACUACAAGUAUAGUUCUUUGAAAAUGUGAAACUCCGACCGAGCGUGGUGGCUCAUGCCUGUAAUCCCAGCUCGUUGGGAGGCCGAGGCAGGUGGAUCACAAGUCGCAGGUGGCGUGAUUUGAUUUGUGUGAAGGCAAUGAAAUGAUACACAGGUACACCGAAGCCUCCCAAAAGAAUCCUGGUUCCAAGAUUCAAGAAGGUAGAUUAAUAUUUUUCCAUUAAUUGUUUGAAAUUAUGUCAUUUUUUCACUAUGUGUCAUCGAUUUUAAAGCACUUCUGAAAAGACAUAACAAUCUACAUGAGAUGGCAUUUUAAAUUCAUAAACAUAGUAUUUUCCUCAACUUUUA
Molecule: long non-coding RNA, 365 nt
Organism: Pongo pygmaeus (Bornean orangutan)
Lineage: Eukaryota; Metazoa; Chordata; Mammalia; Primates; Hominidae
Exons: 3
Source: RefSeq, a predicted model, not a curated record